RNAcentral lists this ribosomal RNA (228 nucleotides) under uncultured eukaryote. RNAcentral's name for it is "partial 18S ribosomal RNA". It matches the Rfam family "Eukaryotic small subunit ribosomal RNA", at positions 1208 to 1456 of the family's 1831-position model. The record is from RNAcentral.
GGAAAUCUCACCAGGCCCGGACACUGGAAGGAUUGACAGAUUGAUAGCUCUUUCUUGAUUCGGUGGGUGGUGGUGCAUGGCCGUUCUUAGUAGGUUGAGUGAUUUGUCUGGUUAAUUCCGUUAACGAACGAGACCUUAACCUGCUAAAUAGUGACGCGGUUCAUCGAACCGUGGGCCACUUCUUAGAGGGACUAUCGGAUUCAAACCGAUGGAAGUGUGAGGCAAUAA